Molecule: long non-coding RNA, 11779 nt
Filed under: Capsicum annuum
Lineage: Eukaryota; Viridiplantae; Streptophyta; Magnoliopsida; Solanales; Solanaceae
Description: long non-coding RNA (CANN_LNC007449)
Source: RNAcentral
AUUAUCUUCUUCACGAUAUAUUCACUCACAUUCACUGAUAAGAAGGAGGAGGAGAUACUCACCCUUAACACAACUUCACACCCUCUCAAUUAUCUCAAUUUAUUACACAGAAAGAACACUACACAUGGAAAAUGAGGUAGAUGAGAGAGAGAGUAGUAGAGAGGAGAGACGCUAAAAAAGAGGAAAAGAGAUCUAGGUUUUUGUCUUUUUCACCUUCAUCCACGCCCACACACGAAAAACACACGCACACAACGCACAUAGUGAAAACAACAAAAAAAUGAGCAAAAAUGGCGUGAGAAUCGAAGGAGAAAACAGAAUUUGGGUUUCUGGUUAGUGUUCCGGCGACCCCUUUACCGUAAUCUCAUCGUUCUCUUUUGAUUUAUGGGUUCAUCUGUUUUUGCGUUUCAUCGUCGAAACCGGGUUUCCAACUUGUCGAAUUGCUUAGAUUUGGUUUUAUUUUUAUUCUUGGGUUUUUAAGAUUCGAAUUUCAUCUUUAUAUUUGGGGAUUUUCUGUUGCCUUUCAGAGUUGUUGAUUCAGAUGUUUAUAAUUAAGUUUGGUUUCCCGAAUUAAAAUUUGUUCGGAUUGGGAUUGGCGAUAUCGAGUUGGAUCUUUGUCAUUGUUGAAGCUCGAAGUCGAGGUUCUCGAGCGUGGUUCUAUCUCCGAUAUAUUGAAAGUGACACUUGUGGUCCAAUUCUAUCUUCUCUUUAAUUUUUUAUGUGAAUAUGAAUGAUUUGUUAUUUGAUAUGUUUGAAUCUUUGUUUUUGUGUUGGUUGAUGUUGGAUUUGAAUGUGGAAACUUGGAUUAGUAAUCGAAGAAUUGAUUAAUUAUUUUGAGAAUGAAUGUGGGAAGGGAUUGAUCUUGAUAAAAGUAAAUUUGGAUAAUUUUUAAUUCAUUGAUGAUGUUGAAAUGUGAUAAGAAUUAUGAUAGGUCGAGUUGGAUAGGAAAAUAGUAGGUUCGGAUAAGAAAAUUUAGAACUUUUGGAUUGUUGAAUGUUGAAAAUGUUUGUUGAAUGGUUUUAUUUUAUGAAUUUAGAUCGAUUGUAUUCAUUCGUCGUGGAAAGCCCCGAGGUCACAUUUGUAUUCAUUCACCGGGAAAUGCCCCGACGUAUCAUGUACUCGGAGGAUGCCUGUGAUGAAGGCCCGAAGCAUCGAGUAAGGCAUUGGAGCGUAGUUUAGGAUUAGUGUAGGUUAGAGUAGGUUUACUUUUCAGUACCUUUUUCAUUUUGGGUUGUAAUAACUGGACCGAACACUAUAUUUUUGGACUAGUUUUGUUUGUUUGAUUGAUCGUUUUCGUGUUUUUUUUGUGUGGUUUGUACAUUUUGUAGUAUCAAAUUAGCCGAUAUGCUCCACCAAGCGACUUUGGUCGAACCACGAAAUCGAGAGGUGCCUAACACCUUCCCCUCGAUCAACAGACUUUCUUAACCGAAAUAUCUAUUCGCAGAUCAGUAUAAAAGAUUCAAAAUCAUUUUUUUUUUACAAAGGAUUUCCAAAGGUUACUUGGCACACCCGAUUUAUGCCAAGUGGCAACUCUGAGUUUUUAUAUAGAAAUAAUCCUUUUUGAAACAAAUCUUCAUUUUUGUCGCUUUAAUAAUAAAACCCUUUCAAACCUUAAAAACUCAAACAAAUCUUUUUGGUUAAAAAAAGGGUGUGACAGCCUUGGCGACUCUGUUGGGGAUUUUUCAAAAUUCGAGCUUAUUUUGGGGUUGUAUCGGCUUAGUUUAACACUAUAGGUGUAUAGACAUUUUGUUUGUGUUAUUUUGUGUUGUUGUUUACCAUUGUUGAGUGUCUACGUGCUCUUUGUUUACAGUUUUUACUUUAUGUGUUACCGCUUUAUAUCUGGCAUCAUGUGCAUAACCCGAGUCUUUCUUUCUGCAACAAGUUAGUACACGUGUGUACACAAUCUAUAGUUGAUUCACCCUUAUUUUAGGAGGGGGCCGUUGGAUUGUAUGGAGUAGGUGGAUAGCUAAAGCAAGCCACUAUUGACCAUACGCUCCCCCGAACACCCUUGUUAGUGGACCCCAACAUAGGCCAGCCUUUACGUCAUGCUUAUCUGCAUCAUAUUGAGACCUAGCGGGACCCACGUGGCUCUUUUCAGGAGACUUACCUCUAAAGCAUCCUUACGUGCUAAAUGUUGCAUCUUUGAGGGUAACAUGGUCAUUUGACGGACUCAUUCGGGGAAGACGUGUGUUAGAAGUAAAGUGCUUAGGCAAAGAAUGUUGAGAAAAAAAUAGAAAAAAAUAUAAGUGAAAAGUGAGUCGAAAAGAAAAAAAACCAGAGAGUUUUAUAGUUUUUAGAGUUCUUUAUAGCUUUUGUUUUCCACGAUUCAAAAAUUCAAAAAAAAAAAGAUUUUUUUUUACUUUUGCACUCAUUUUUCAAAAAAAAAAAAUCAUCAAAAAGAUUUUUCUUUUAUUUCAUUUAGCAAGCAUUCACAAUUCGAAAACUCCAAAACGAUUUUUUUAAGAGCUUUUUAUAAAAGAAAAAUUCAAAAAAAAGGUGGUAGAAGUUUUGUAUAUUUCAUAUAACAAAAAUACCAAAAAGAUUUUUUUUCAUAGCUGUUGAUGUCAUUUUUUAUGUGAAGUGUCAAAUUGAAAACUCAAAGAAAAGGUUUUGUUAUGUUGUUCAUCGUGUGUCUUUGGUCUUGUCUCAAGUCAGGGUGCAAUUUAUUAUUUAAUCAUUAAUUGUCCAAUCUGACAGUGUCUGUCCCCUGGAUAAAAGAGACUCAAACAGUGUUUGUCCCCUGGAUAAAAGAAAAUUUUAAGAAAUGGCACCUACUUAUGGGUUGUAACACCUAAUUUUGUCCCAUAAAAAUAUUUCUUAUUCUGAUAUCACACAAUUUAACCCCAUUCUUAUAAUUUUUCCCUAAGAAAAUAAAUAACCACCCCAUUUUUUACUUAUUUAUUUAUUUUUUUUGUUUUGUUUUUGUCCCAAAAUAACAAGUCAUAAAAAACUUUGUCUCAUUCUAGCAUUCCAACAACCCACCCAAUCAAAAAUGGACACCUAACCCCUACCCCUCCAAUUGAAAAAAAACAACACCUCACCACUCACCAAACCACCUCACCACCACCCCCUCCAUGUGACCCCCUACCUUUUUUUUGUUUACACGUUUUCUUGACAUCUCCAUAUAUAGAAAAAGACAAUACACAAAAGAGGAGGAUUCAUUGGGGUCCACAGAAUAACAAAAAACAUAAAAUAGCACCAUCACCUCACAAUUUCAUAGGCACAAAAUUAUCUUCUUCACGAUAUAUUCACUCACAUUCACUGAUAAGGAGGAGGAGAUACUCACCCUUAACACAACUUCACACCCUCUCAAUUAUCUCUAUUGAUUACACAGAAAGAACACUACACAUGGAAAAUGAGGUAGAUUGAGAGAGAGAGUAGUAGAGAGGAGAGACGCUAAAAAAGAGGAAAAGAGAUCUAGGUUUUUGUCUUUUUCACCUUCAUCCACGCCCACACACGAAAAACACACGCACACAACGCACAUAGUGAAAACAACAAAAAAAUGAGCAAAAAUGGCGUGAGAAUCGAAGAAGAAAAUAGAAUUUCGGUUUCUGGUUAGUGUUCCGGCGACCCCUUUGCCGUAAUCUCAUCGUUCUCUUUUGAUUUGUGGGUUCAUCUGUUUUUGCGUUUCAUCGUCGAAACUGGGUUUCCAUCUUGUCGAAUUGCUUAGAUUUGGUUUUAUUUUUAUUCUUGGGAUUUUAAGAUUCGAAUUUCAUCUUUCUAUUUGGGGAUUUUCUAUUGCCGUUCAGAGUUGUUGAUUCGGAUGUUUAUAAUUGAGUUUGAUUUCCUGAAUUAAAAUUUGUUCUGAUUGGGAUUGGCGAUAUCGAGUUGGAUCUUUGUCAUUGUUAAAGCUCGAAGUCGAGGUUCUCGGGCGUGGUUCUAUCUCCGAUAUAUUGAAAGUGACACUUGAGGUUCAAUUCUAUCUUCUCUUUAAUUUUUUAUGUGAAUAUGAAUGAUUUGUUAUUUGAUAUGUUUGAAUCUUUGUUUUUGUGUUGGUUGAUGUUGGAUUUGAAUGUGGUAACUUGGAUUAGUAGUCGAAGAAUUGAUUAAUUAUUUUUAGAAUGAAAGUGGGAAGGGAUUGAUCUCGAUAAAAGUAAAUUUGGAUAAUUUUUAAUUCAUUGAUGAUGUUGAAAUGUGAUAAGAAUUAUGAUAGGUCGAGUUGGAUAGGAAAAUAAUAGGUUCGGGUAAGAAAAUUUAGAACUGUUGGAUUGUUGAAUAUUGAAAAUGUUUGUUGAAUGGUUUUAUUUUAUGAAUUUGGAUCGAUUGUAUUCAUUCGUCGGGGAAUGCCCCGAGGUCACAUUUGUCUUCAUUCACCGGGGAACGCGCCGACAUAUCAUGUACUGAAGGAUGCCCGUGAUGAAGGCCCGAAGCAUCGGGUAAGGCAUUGGAUCGUAGUUUAGAAUUAGUCUAGGUUAGCGUAGGUUUACUUUUCAGUACCUUUUUCAUUUUGGGUUGUAACAAUUGGACCAAACACUAUAUUUUUGGACUGGUUUUGUUUGUUUGAUUGAUAGUUUUUGUGUAUUUUUUUUUGUUUGUACAUUUUGUAGUAUCAAAUUAGCCGAUAUGCUCCACCAAGCGACUGUGAUCGAACCACGAAAUAGAGAGGUGCCUAACACCUUCCCCUCGAUCAACAGACUUUCUUAACCGAAAUAUCUAUUCGCGGAUCAGUUUAAAAGAUUCAAAAUCAUUUUUUAUGACAAAGGAUUUCCAAAGGUGACUUGGCACACCCGAUUUAUGCCAAGUGGCGACUCUGAGUUUUUGUAUAUAAAUAAUCCUUUUCAAAAUAAAUCUUCAUUUUUGUCACUUUAAUAAUAAAACCCUUUCAAACCUUAAAAACUCAAACUAAUCUUUUUGGUUAAAAAAGGGGUGUGACAGCCCUGGCGACUCUGUUGGGGAUUUUUCAGAAUUCGAGCUUGUUUUGGAGUUGUAUCGGCUUAGUUUAACACUAUAGGUGUAUAGACAUUUUGUUUGUGUUAUUUUGUGUUGUUGUUUACCAUUGUUGAGUGUCUACGUGCUCUUUGUUUACAGUUUUUACUUUAUGUGUUACCGCUUUAUAUCUGGCAUCAUGUGCAUAACCUGAGUCUUUGUUUCUGCAAUAAGUUAGUACACGUGUGUACACGAUCUAUAGUUGAUUCACCCUUAUUUUAGGAGGGGGGCCGUUGGAUUGUAUGGAGUAGGUGGACAGCUAAAGCAAGCCACUAUCGACCAUACGCUCCCCCGAAUACCCUUGUUAGUGGACCCCACCAUAGGUCAACCUUUAGGUCAUGCUUAUCUGUAUCAUAUUGAGAACUAGCGGGACCCACGUGGCCCUUUUCAGGAGACUUACCUCUAAAGCAUCCUUACGUGCUAAAUGUUGCAUCUUUGAGGGUAACAUGGUCAUUUGACGGACUCAUUCGGGGAAGACGUGUGUUAGAAGUAAAGUGCGUAGGCAAAAAAUGUUGAGAAAAAAAUAGAAAAAAACAUAAGUGAAAAGUGAGUCGAAAAGAAAAAAAAGAGAGUUUUGUAGUUUUUAGAGUUCUUUAUGGAUUUUGUUUUCCACGAUUCAAAAAUUCAAAAAAAAAAGAUUUUUUUUUACUUUUGCACUCAUUUUUCAAAAAUUUAAAAAAAAAAAAACAUCAAAAAGAUUUUCCUUUUGUUUCAUUUAGCAAGCAAUCACAAUUUGAAAACUCCAAAACGAUUUUUUUAAGAGCUUUUUAUAAAAGAAAAAUUCAAAAAAAAAGGUGGUAGAAGUUUUGUAUAUUUCAUAUAACAAAAAUACCAAAAAGAUUUUCUUUCAUAGCUGUUGAUGUCAUUUUUUAUGUGAAGUGUCAAAUUGAAAACUCAAAGAAAUGGUUUUGUUAUGUUGUUCAUCGUGUGUCUUUGGUCGUGUCUCAAGUCAGGGUGCAAUUUAUUAUUUAAUCAUUAAUUGUCCAAUCUGGACGAACUACGCACCCCUGAUUCUUCUAUUUCGGGAGUGAGAUACAUAGCCAGCCUAUUAUAGGUUCGGGGAUCUUAUUUAAAAAAUUCAAAAAGGAUUUUCUUCACUAUUCAUUUAGAGUAGGUGUUUCAUACAUGUUUUGAAAAGAAAAAUUAAAAAAAAAAAAUCCUCAAUAGUCGUAGGAUUCAUUUUUGGUUGAUCUUAUUUCAAAAAAUCCAAAAAGAUUUUCUUCACUCUUUUUGAGAGAAGUUGUUUAAUAUACAUCUUUAAAAGAAAACAACAAAAAAUAUUUUCCUUUAAUAGGUUCAAGUUUUGUUUUCGUAUGAAAUUCAAAAUCUAAAUCCCCAAAAGAUUUUCUUUGGUAUCAUAGGUUUCAUUUUGUAUAGGGAUUUUCAAAACUGAAAAACUCAAAAAGAUUUUCAUCAAUUCUUUUAACAAUUUAUUGUUUUCUUUUAAAGUUUCAAGAAAAAUAAAAAGGAAAGGAAAAAGAGUUUAAUUGGCCAUUUUGACAAGACUUCACGAACUACGAACACCUGAUUCUCCUCUUUCGGGAGUGAGAUACGUAGGCGCCCUUCUUGGGUUCGGUGAUCUUUUCUAAAAUGAUAAAAAAUAAAAAAAAAGGGUUUUGAAAAAAAGGUGUUGAACUCUAAUGCAUUUGAUGUUUAUUUUGUUCAGUUAGUUUAAGGUGGUUGGUUUUUGGCAUUUUGGCUGGUCCUCUAUAGUGCACCAAAUUAUAGAGAAAGUUAUGACCAACAAGGAUACCGAGUUUAUUGUCACUAAUUCGACAGGGAGCUCGGGGAAUGGGAAUUUAGAAGCUAAUGAAGAGAUUCGAAAAUUAAGGCAACAAAUGAUAGAAAUGCAUCGAACUUUGGCUAAUGGGUUUCCUCCUCCUCUAGUUCCUAAUGAUAAUCUAGAAUAUCUUUCUAGCUUGCCUCCCGUGUCACAUGCACAAUUUCCCAUUUUUAUUGACAUGCCACAACAUGCAUCAGGGACUACUCGGGAAAACACUAUCCAAACACUUCGAAUAUUCCUUUCCUCACUCCUCAACAUAAAACUACCACUUACUAGUCUCCAUCUGUUGUUCAUGCUUUUCCAGCGCCACCCCCUCUUAAAGAUCCUACUUUUAAUGCCAAUCCAACAGUUGUGAUUCCUCACUCUAAAAGUGACCCUGUAUUGAAUAUUUCAAGUGAUCAACAUUAUGCUCCCGAGCUCACAUUUAAGUCGACUGAUCCUUAUGGCUACACUUAUCCGCCUGAAUUUACUCUUAAUGCUGAAAAUCCUGUUAUGAAAGAAGAACAAGAAGAAAUGACCAGAAAAUUGAGAAGUUUGGAACUGGCUAGGAAGAAAUCCAAGGUCCUGGGGGUACAAAAGUGUCUCAUAUAAAGAUCUGUGCAUGUUUCCAGGUGUUUAUCUCCCUUUCGGUUUUAAGAUGCCAAAGUUUGAAAAGUAUCAUGGACAUGGGGAUCUGGUGGCACAUUUGAGACAUUAUUGUAACCAACUAAGAGGUGUCGAAGGCAAAGAAGAACUGCUCAUGGCUUACUUUGGUGAGAUCCUUUCGGGUCUAGCUUAGGAAUGGUUUGUUGACCAAGACAUUAACAAGUGGAUUUGUUGGGAUGACCUAGCUAAUGGAUUUGUGCAACAAUUUCAAUACAAUGUGGAGUUGAUCCCUAAUUAGUAUAAAAAAGAAGAGAGUUUCAGGGAGUAUGCGAUCAGAUGGCGCGAACAAGCUGCUAGAGUAAAACUGCCAAUGAAACAAAGCAAAAUAGUGGAGGUGUUUGUUCAAACGCAGGAUGAAACAUAUUAUCAACACUUGUUACCUGCAUUAGGCAAGUCAUUUAUUGAGGUCCUUAAAAUGGGGGAGAUGAUAGAAGAGGGAAUUAAGACUGGUCGCAUUAUAAAUUUUACAACAUUGAAAGCGACAACUCAAGCAAUUCAAAAGGGUUUAGAAAGUGUUGGGGAGACAAACAAUGAGGAAGUUACAUCUUCUAUUAUAGUUGGACAGCGGCCAGGGUAAAGAAGAUCCCGUUGUCGUCACUCUCAGGCUCAUUCAUGCCCAAGCUCCACAUAAUCACUCCCAAAAUCCAUUAUACUCUACUCCUCCACCUCCGUAUCCAGUAUAUAAUGCACAACCACAUGUUCAACACCCAUGUUACAUAAAGUGGAACACACUAACUCCCCAGAGUCAUCCUCUAACUCCACAAACAUACCAAAACCCUUCUAAGCCAAAGAAAGACCUUUAAAUCAAUCUUUUAGAAUGCUAAGGUUAAGCAUGCAAUGGAUAUGAUGACACAUUUUGGGAACUACUCGUCUUCCUCAGCAUAAGAAAUCAGGAAAGAUAUAAAAAUAAGAGAGUCUUAUUGGUGAAAACCCUCAUGAGCACCAUAAGACGAUGGUAAGUUGAGAGAGAUAAAAUGAGAGAGUUUUAUUGGUGAAAACUCCACGGGCACCAUAAAGCGAUGGUGAGUUGAGAGAAAAAUGAGAGAGGCUUGUUGGAAAAAAUCCUUCAAUGUGUCACUAGCCGAAUGAGCUCUUCGAAUGCAAUGGGUCUAAGCAAGUAACUCAGUUUCAGAGCCAUUAACUCCAGAACAAUUGGUAGAAAGCUUGGAUGUAAAGAUCAGACAGCUUGAUCCAAAAUGCAUGGCAUAAUUAUUAAAGUUGACUGUUAUUUCUAGAUAAAUUUUUUAUUUCUUUAUUUCAAAUGGGGACAUUCAUUGUCUUUUAUUUCUUCUCUUUAUUUUCUAUUUUAUUUUCUUUAGUCAGUUGUCCAAAUAAAAAUCAUUGUCAUUUUUUUUUCUCUUGCCUUUUUAGUCAAGUCCAUGUCAAAACAAGUGAGAAAAGAUUUCAAAACUGGUUACCAUCUUCUUCAAUUGUGCAAAGCAAGACAAAAGGCCAACACAUGAAAGAGACAUGAUUGUGAGCCAAAAUAAGGCAUGCAGAAAGUUGUGUCAACCAAAAAGUCCAAGGUUUAAAGGGUUUAUCUGAGAAACAUGAUAAAGCAGAGAUACUGUAUUUGUUUCAGAGUCACUCUUAAUAAUCUGAGUUCGGGUCAAUGAUGCAGUAAGCCAGUGACACACGCUAAUGGUCCAAAGCAAAAUUAAAUAUGACAGGGGCAAGAGCGAUUUCCACGAAAGACAAAGCCAUAAACCAUCCACCAUGUUUUUAAACAAACAAGUUUUCUUUGAAUGAAAUAGGAACACAUGCUACCUUCGGAUCAAGGAUUUAUAAGCUUAAACAUCAAAGGCUAUAUUAUUCUCACUUCUACAAAUGCAAGAGGCAAUGUUGCUGCACAGAUUUGGUAUUCAAAACCAUGGUAAAACUCAUAAUCCAAUAUCUCUAGGAGACACACUUCCUUAUUUGGGUAAUUCAAGCAACAUUUGUAAGGAGACACACUUUCUUGUUUGGGUGAUUCAAGCAACAUUUGUAAGGGGACGCACUUCCUUGUUUGGCCAAUUCAAGCAAUAUUUGAAAGGAGACAUACUUCCUUAUUUGGGUAAUUCAAGCUGCAUUGGUAGGAAGACGCACUUUCUUAUUUCGGUAAUUCAAGCGGCAUUUGUAAGGAGACGUACUUCCUUGUUUGGACAAUUCAAGUAAUAUUUGUAAGGAGACGCACUUUCUUCUUUGGUAAUUCAAGUGGUAUUUGUAAGGAGACGUAAUUCCUUGUUUGGACAAUUCAAGCAACAAUUAUAAGAAGACGUACUUCUUUGUUUCGAUAAUUCAAGUGGCAUUUAUAAGGAGAUGUACUUCCUUGUUUGGACAAUUCAAGCAACAUUUGUAAGGAAACACAUUUUCUUGUUUGGGCAAUUCAAGCAACAUUUGUAAGGAGACGCACUUCCUUAUUUGGGCAAUUCAAGCAACAUUUUUAAGGAGACGUACUUUCUUGUUUGGACAAUUUAAGCAACAUUUAUUAGGAGUCGUACUUCCUUAUUCGGAUAAUUCCAGAAACAUUGGUAAGGAGACACACUUCCUUGUUUUGGUAAUUUAAGCGGCAUUGGUAAGGAGAUGCACUUCCUUUUUUUGGUAAUAUAAGAGGCAUUGGAAGGAGACGCACUUUCUUAUUUGGGUAUUUCUAGCAACAUUUGUAAGGAGACGCAUUUUAUUAUUUGGGUAAUUCAAGAAGCAUUGGUAAGGAGAUAACUUCCUUGUUUUGGUAAUUUAAGCGGUAUUAGUAAGGAGACGCACUUCCUUGUUUUGGUAAUUUAAGCGGCAUUGGUAAGGAGAAGCACUUCCUUGUUUGGAUAAUUCAAGCAACAUUUGUAAGGAGAUGCACUUCCUCAUUUGGGUAAUUCAAGCAGCAUUGGUAAGGAGACACACUUCCUUGUUUUGGUAAUUUAAGCGGCAUUGGUAAGGACACGCACUUCCUUAUUUUGGUAAUUCAAGAGGCAUUGGUAAAGAGACGCACUUUCCUAUUUGGGUAUUUCUAGCACCAUUUGUAAGGAAACGCAUUUCUUUGUUUGGGUAAUUCAAGAGGCAUUUUGUGAGGAGACGCACUUCCUUGUUUGAGUAAUUCAACCGGCAUUUGUAAGGAGACGCACUUACUUUUUUUCAUAAUUCAAGCAACAUCUAUAAGGAGACGUACUUCCUUGUUUGGGUAAUUCAAGCGGCAUUUGUAAGGAGAUGCACUUCCUUGUUUUAAUAACUCAAGCAACAUUGGAGCCUGCCCGAAGCACAAGGAGAAUAAAUGGAAAGUCAAGCAAAAAGGUGAAACAAUUGAAAGCCAAGCAACAAAUUAAGAAAUUGCAAGUCAGGAGCCCGCCUAAAGAAUAGGGUGAUGAAACUCAAGUCAAGAGUUCAAAAGAAGCUGCAUAGAUAGGACUUUUGUAAUUUUAUUUAUCUUUUUAACUCUUGUAAUUUUUCAUUUUUUGAUGUAAUGACAGAGCCGUGACCGGAACCUCGAUGGGACCUCACUCGACUCUACAACUCAGUAUAGUCCAUCUCCUUUCAAUCCUUUGAGAUACCUGUCACUUGAUUCCCUCAUAACUUGGGUAGGUAGGAUGUCCCAAGUCAAGACUUGGUGUCCCUCCUUCCUUAUGUUUCAUUUUUUUAAUAAUAGUUGGAACAAAAUUCUACCUCGUUGUCUACUUUUUUGUCUGAAAACACGUCAUGUUUACAUUCAAAGGGGACAUUCUGUAGACGCCUAAUUUUGUUCCGUCAAAAAUAUUACUUAUUCUAAUAUCACAUAAUUUAACCCCAUUCUUAUAAUUUUUCCCCAAGAAAAUAAAUAACCACCCCAUCUUUUACUUAUUUAUUUAUUUAUUUUUGUUUUGUUUUUAUCCAAAACUAAUGUCAUAACAAACUUUGUCUCAUUCUAACAUUCCAACAACCCACCCAAUCAAAAAUGGACACCUAACCCCUACCCCUCCAAUUAAUAAAAACAGCACCUCACCACUCACCAAACCACCUCACCACCACCCCCUCCACGUGACCCCCUACCUUUUUUGUUUACACAUUUUCUUUCGCUCUCCAUAUAUAGAACAAGACAAUACACAAAAGAGGACGAUUCAUUGGCGCCCCAUAGAAUAACAAAAAACACAAAACAGCACCAUCACCUCACUAUUUCAUAGGCACACAAUCAUCUUCUUCACGAUAUAUUCACUCACAUUCACUGAUAAGAAGGAGGAGGAGAUACUCACCCUUAACAUAACCUCACACCCUCUCUAUUUUCUCCAUUGAUUACAUAAAAAGAACACUACACAUAGAAAAUGAGGUAGAUUGAGAGAGAGAGUAGUAAAGAGGAGAGACGCAAAAAAAAGAGGAAAAGAGAUCUGGGUUUCUGUCUUUUUCACCUUCAUCCACGCCCACACACGAAAAACACACGCACACGAUGCGCACAGUGAAAACAACAAAAAAAUGAGCAAAAAUGGCAUG